This 767-nucleotide ribosomal RNA is filed under the name uncultured Singulisphaera sp. RNAcentral's name for it is "bacterial SSU rRNA". It matches the Rfam family "Bacterial small subunit ribosomal RNA", at positions 8 to 796 of the family's 1533-position model. The record is from RNAcentral. Lineage: Bacteria; Pseudomonadati; Planctomycetota; Planctomycetia; Isosphaerales; Isosphaeraceae.
AGAGUUUGAUCCUGGCUCAGGAUGAACGCUGGCGGUAUGCUUAACACAUGCAAGUCGCACGGCCCCUUCGGGGGCAGUGGCAGACGGCUGAGUAACGCGUAGGAACCUGCCCGGGUGUGGGGAACAACUCGCCGAAAGGCGAGCUAAUACCGCAUACGCUGGUGAAAGCCAGGAAAGCCGAAAGGCGCACCCGGAGGGGCCUGCGUCCGAUUAGCCAGUUGGUGGGGUAACGGCCUACCAAAGCAGCGAUCGGUAGCUGGUCUGAGAGGAUGACCAGCCAGACUGGGACUGGGACACGGCCCAGACUCCUACGGGAGGCAGCAGUUAGGAAUUUUGGGCAAUGGCCGCAAGCCUGACCGAGCGACGCCGCGUGGAGGACGAAGGCCUUCGGGUUGUAAACUCCUGUCGAGGGGAAUCAAGGGGGCGUGGAGAACGCCCCUCGAGAGCUCCCUGGAGGAAGCACGGGCUAAGUUCGUGCCAGCAGCCGCGGUAAGACGAACCGUGCGAACGUUAUUCGGAAUCAUUGGGCUUAAAGGGCGCGUAGGCGGGCCAGCACGUCGGAACUGAAAUCCCCCGGCUCAACCGGGGAACGGGCUCCGAUACGGUUGGCCUCGAGGUGAGGAGGGGGACCUGGAACGUCCGGUGGAGCGGUGAAAUGCGUUGAGAUCGGACGGAACGCCGAUGGCGAAAGCAAGGUCCUGGACUCAUAUCUGACGCUGAGGCGCGAAAGCCAGGGGAGCGAACGGGAUUAGAUACCCCCGUAGUCC